AGGCCUAACACAUGCAAGUCGAGCGCACCCUUCGGGGUGAGCGGCGGACGGGUGAGUAACGCGUGGGAAUGUGCCCAAAGGUACGGAAUAGCCUCUGGAAACGGAGAGUAAUACCGUAUGUGCCCUACGGGGGAAAGAUUNAUCGCCUUUGGAUCGGCCCGCGUUGGAUUAGGUAGUUGGUGGGGUAAAAGCCUACCAAGCCGACGAUCCAUAGCUGGUUUGAGAGGAUGAUCAGCCACACUGGGACUGAGACACGGCCCANACUCCUACGGGAGGCAGCAGUGGGGAAUCCUACACAAUGGGGGAAACCCUGAUCUAGCCAUGCCGCGUGAGUGACGAAGGCCCUAGGGUCGUAAAGCUCUUUCGCUGGGGAAGAUAAUGACGGUACCCANUAAAGAAACCCCGGNUAACUCCGUGCCAGCAGCCGCGGUAAU
Molecule: ribosomal RNA, 434 nt
Filed under: uncultured bacterium
Lineage: Bacteria
Description: bacterial SSU rRNA
Rfam family: Bacterial small subunit ribosomal RNA
Source: RNAcentral